Molecule: ribosomal RNA, 2397 nt
Filed under: Salmonella enterica subsp. enterica serovar Enteritidis
Lineage: Bacteria; Pseudomonadati; Pseudomonadota; Gammaproteobacteria; Enterobacterales; Enterobacteriaceae
Description: bacterial LSU rRNA
Rfam family: Bacterial large subunit ribosomal RNA
Source: RNAcentral
UCGCGUAGCGAAAGCGAAUGCUUUGGGGUGGGGUGACUGCGUACCUUUUGUAUAAUGGGUCAGCGACUUAUAUUCUGUAGCAAGGUUAACCGAAUAGGGGAGCCGGAGGGAAACCGAGUCUUAAUUGGGCGUUAAGUUGCAGGGUAUAGACCCGAAACCCGGUGAUCUAGCCAUGGGCAGGUUGAAGGUUGGGUAACACUAACUGGAGGACCGAACCGACUAAUGUUGAAAAAUUAGCGGAUGACCUGUGGCUGGGGGUGAAAGGCCAAUCAAACCGGGAGAUAGCUGGUUCUCCCCGAAAGCUAUUUAGGUAGCGCCUCGUGAAUUCAUCUCCGGGGGUAGAGCACUGUUUCGGCUAGGGGGCCAUCCCGGCUUACCAACCCGAUGCAAACUGCGAAUACCGGAGAAUGUUAUCACGGGAGACACACGGCGGGUGCUAACGUCCGUCGUGAAGAGGGAAACAACCCAGACCGCCAGCUAAGGUCCCAAAGUCAUGGUUAAGUGGGAAACGAUGUGGGAAGGCCCAGACAGCCAGGAUGUUGGCUUAGAAGCAGCCAUCAUUUAAAGAAAGCGUAAUAGCUCACUGGUCGAGUCGGCCUGCGCGGAAGAUGUAACGGGGCUAAACCAUGCACCGAAGCUGCGGCAGCGACACUGUGUGUUGUUGGGUAGGGGAGCGUUCUGUAAGCCUGUGAAGGUGUGUCGUGAGGCAUGCUGGAGGUAUCAGAAGUGCGAAUGCUGACAUAAGUAACGAUAAAGCGGGUGAAAAGCCCGCUCGCCGGAAGACCAAGGGUUCCUGUCCAACGUUAAUCGGGGCAGGGUGAGUCGACCCCUAAGGCGAGGCCGAAAGGCGUAGUCGAUGGGAAACGGGUUAAUAUUCCCGUACUUGGUGUUACUGCGAAGGGGGGACGGAGAAGGCUAUGUUGGCCGGGCGACGGUUGUCCCGGUUUAAGCGUGUAGGUGUGUGUUCCAGGUAAAUCCGGUUCACUUUAACACUGAGGCGUGACGACGAGGCACUACGGUGCUGAAGCAACAAAUGCCCUGCUUCCAGGAAAAGCCUCUAAGCAUCAGGUAACAUCAAAUCGUACCCCAAACCGACACAGGUGGUCAGGUAGAGAAUACCAAGGCGCUUGAGAGAACUCGGGUGAAGGAACUAGGCAAAAUGGUGCCGUAACUUCGGGAGAAGGCACGCUGACACGUAGGUGAAGUGAUUUACUCAUGGAGCUGAAGUCAGUCGAAGAUACCAGCUGGCUGCAACUGUUUAUUAAAAACACAGCACUGUGCAAACACGAAAGUGGACGUAUACGGUGUGACGCCUGCCCGGUGCCGGAAGGUUAAUUGAUGGGGUCAGCGCAAGCGAAGCUCCUGAUCGAAGCCCCGGUAAACGGCGGCCGUAACUAUAACGGUCCUAAGGUAGCGAAAUUCCUUGUCGGGUAAGUUCCGACCUGCACGAAUGGCGUAAUGAUGGCCAGGCUGUCUCCACCCGAGACUCAGUGAAAUUGAACUCGCUGUGAAGAUGCAGUGUACCCGCGGCAAGACGGAAAGACCCCGUGAACCUUUACUAUAGCUUGACACUGAACAUUGAGCCUUGAUGUGUAGGAUAGGUGGGAGGCUUUGAAGUGUGGACGCCAGUCUGCAUGGAGCCGACCUUGAAAUACCACCCUUUAAUGUUUGAUGUUCUAACGUGGACCCGUUACCCGGGUUGCGGACAGUGUCUGGUGGGUAGUUUGACUGGGGCGGUCUCCUCCUAAAGAGUAACGGAGGAGCACGAAGGUUGGCUAAUCCUGGUCGGACAUCAGGAGGUUAGUGCAAUGGCAUAAGCCAGCUUGACUGCGAGCGUGACGGCGCGAGCAGGUGCGAAAGCAGGUCAUAGUGAUCCGGUGGUUCUGAAUGGAAGGGCCAUCGCUCAACGGAUAAAAGGUACUCCGGGGAUAACAGGCUGAUACCGCCCAAGAGUUCAUAUCGACGGCGGUGUUUGGCACCUCGAUGUCGGCUCAUCACAUCCUGGGGCUGAAGUAGGUCCCAAGGGUAUGGCUGUUCGCCAUUUAAAGUGGUACGCGAGCUGGGUUUAGAACGUCGUGAGACAGUUCGGUCCCUAUCUGCCGUGGGCGCUGGAGAACUGAGGGGGGCUGCUCCUAGUACGAGAGGACCGGAGUGGACGCAUCACUGGUGUUCGGGUUGUCAUGCCAAUGGCACUGCCCGGUAGCUAAAUGCGGAAGAGAUAAGUGCUGAAAGCAUCUAAGCACGAAACUUGCCCCGAGAUGAGUUCUCCCUGAGACUUAGAGUCUCCUGAAGGAACGUUGAAGACGACGACGUUGAUAGGCCGGGUGUGUAAGCGCAGCGAUGCGUUGAGCUAACCGGUACUAAUGAACCGUGAGGCUUAACCUUACAACGCCGAAG